Molecule: unclassified non-coding RNA, 335 nt
Filed under: soil metagenome
Description: partial contains 5.8S ribosomal RNA, internal transcribed spacer 2, and large subunit ribosomal RNA
Rfam family: 5.8S ribosomal RNA (bases 1-120)
Source: RNAcentral
GAUGAAGAACGUAGCGAAAUGCGAUAAGUAAUGUGAAUUGCAGAAUUCAGUGAAUCAUCGAAUCUUUGAACGCACAUUGCGCCCGCUAGUAUUCUGGCGGGCAUGCCUGUUCGAGCGUCAUUUCAACCAUCAAGCUCCUUAGCUUGUGUUGGGGACCUGCGGCUGCCGCAGCCCCCGAAAUGCAGUGGCGGGCUCGUUGUCACACCGAGUGCAGUAAUCAUUCUUCUCUCCGGGCGUGGCGGUGGGUUCCGGCCGUAAAAUCACCAAUUUAUCAAGGUUGACCUCGGAUCAGGUAGGAAUACCCGCUGAACUUAAGCAUAUCAAUAAGCGGAGGA